AAAACUCCUAACAUCAACUCGUAAUUAUAUAUAAAGAUUGGUAAAUAUUUUUUUAUUGUUACCUCGAAAAUAUCGUAAUAUUUCGAAGUAUGAUUCUUAGCAUCGUUAUUUAUAGAUGGUUAAAUAGUUAGGGUAUUGUAGAGAGUAUAUUCUUUGAAAUCUAUAAUUAAUAGACAUUAAAUAGUACGAUAUUAUGUAUUAGUUGUUAUGGAAAAUAUAGUAGAUUUGUUGAGUAGUUAACGGCAAUUAGUGAAAUCUAGCACAUAUGUUUGAUAUAUAUCGUUAGAAUAUUAGAAGUUGCAAGCCUCAAGCAAGAAAUCUAGAAAAAUCGUAUCUAUUGAGAUAUUUUGCUCCUAUAUACUUGAUUUUCAAGUUAAAAGAUAUUACAACUAAUUUGAUUUUAUGAUUAUACUUGCUUUUCGAGAAAAAUAUAUUUUUGACUUUGAUCACAAAUUUUGUAGCUGUUUCAAAACUACCGAUUGGUAUAGGUUUAUUUAGAAGAAAAAAAUGAAUUUUAUCACAAAACUUAUAAAUGGUUUUAAAUCUAGUAUGGGUAAGGAUUAAGAUAUGUAUAAUGUUGGUUUAACUGGUUAACCGACAGUAUAGUCACAUCAAAACCAAAAGAAAAAAAAAAUUUGAAUCAAACCUACGAUUGAUAUGGAUUUAUAAUGAAGAAAAUAUUAAUUUUGAAUUAGAUCACACAACUUGUAAGUGGUUUGAAAAUUAGAAUGGGUAAGAAUUAAGAUAUGUUUAAUGUUGGUAUAAUUGGUUAACCGGUAGUAUAGACACACCAAAGCCAAAAUAUGAAAAUAAUUCUAAUCAAACCAUAUUGCAAACAUCACGUACUUAACCAAAAUAUAAAAGAUAAUUUAAUUUAAAGAUAAAUUAUGGUGGUUUUGUAAACCGUAAUUAAAAGGGUACGGUUUUAGUAUUGCGUGGAUUAGUUAGCCAUAUAGUAAACCAGUUUUAUAUACUAAAUCUAAAAAUAAUUAAUAUAUUUAAAUAGAAAAAUCUAUUUCGGAUAUCUAAAAUAUUUUGGAUCGUGUUUAAUUUCGAUUUAUAAAUACCUCAAAUCUAAACCAGUUUGGAUGUUUAAUAAAAAAAAUCGGGUUCAAUAUUACUUUUUUUUUAUCGGAUUCUGUUUGUUUCUUUGGAUUUGGGUUUUUGUGUCAAAUAUAAAAACUAAUACCAUAAGCUUGAAUGCUUUAAAAAGAAAAGGAAAAGAAAAUGAGGAUUUUAUGGUAACAACAUAAUAAUUUAGUUGCCGUAGGUUUGAUUUAUUAAAAGUAAAUAAGCAUAGAUUGAUUAUGUGAAUUUGAGGAUAACUGAUUUGUGAAUUUAAAAUAAAAUAGAACACGUUUAUGGAUAUGUUUUAAUAGGUAAGAUUUACUUGAUUUAGUUAUGCUCAUCAUUUACUGUUAAAAUAUAUAUUUAAGAUACAUUAUGAGGAUUUUAUGGCUGAUUUAUAAACAAAUAUAAAAUGUUUAUGGCAUAUAAAUCGUUUUGUUUAGGUAUAUUCUUAUACUGUAACAGAUUUUUGUUUUUCAAAAUUGGUGGCUUAGGUUGUAUAUAUAUAUAUAUAUAUAUUUUUAGAAUCGGUUGUAUAGUCAACAUUAUUAUGAACCGGUUAGGUACGAUUGGGUUUUUUUUAAAUGAACUAAUAUGAAUUUAUGAUCAAUAUGAAUCAUGUAUUAGGAAAUCCAACACUUCAAUGUUAUGAUAGACUAAUUUAAAAAAAAAAAACAAAAUUUCAUAUUACAUUGAUUUGAGGUACUUGAGUAACUGGACUGGAAAGUAUUGAAAAACAAAAUUGAAUCCUCAUUCGUUUGUGAUGAACGAUAGAUCCAAAUUAGAGAUCACAACUUCUUAUUUGUUAGAAGUCAUGACACCAUAAGGAGUUCAUUUUAAGAUAACAGAGAUUUUUAAAAAAUUAAAGUGAUUCAUUUUAAUAAUGGUUCUGUAUAUAUUUAUUAGGUGAUUUAAUAUUUCUGUUAUAAUAUUUUCUUAAGGUGAUGAACUAUGGUCAUUAGAGAGCACGACAAGUUCAUAUGUGCUACAUAGUUUUGACAUAGUUAGGAGUUCACUCAUGAUUUGAUGACAUAUUUUAAUUUAUUUUAUGUGAUACUUGUAUCAUUUCAUAAAUUGAGCUGAUAUAUAUGAUAGAGUUGUUAUGAUAUUCGAUUGAUAUUAUAUUAAAUGAUCCAUUAAUGAUUAAAAAAUGUUAUUAAGAAAUAAAUGAAACAUCUAAAGGGUCCAUUUUUUAAAAUAUCACACAUGAAUCAAGGUUGUGACUUCUGUUUUAAUAUCUAACAAUACUAAAAGCACAAUAUACUUAAUGGUAAGGGUGUCCACAUCAGCCAAAUAUUCAGCACCAAUCAAAUUGACACAUCAGAAAAACAAUUGAUUUUUACAACUUUAUUGAAUUAAAUUUUUCUUAUCCCACGAAUCUCUUCGGUUCCUACCUGCAAUUUUACAACGGUUUCUUCCUCAUUUAGUUGCAUUAAUAAAUUCAAUGCUAUGACCUUACGACUCCAUUUUUCAACUCAUUCCCUAUUUGAUAUAAAUAUAGAGUGAUGGCGGUGAAGUUCAAUCCCUAAUCAUAUUUGUUGGGUAUCACCUAUUUAGAUUUUAAAUAUUUUUGUUUUCUUUUGAUCUUUUGAAGAAAUUUGUAGUUUUUGACACGAAAUUCCACUGUCUUUUUCACUCAGGUACUAGCUCCGUACGAAGUUGGUGGGUUCAACGAAAGCUUCACCCUUUCUGAAUAAAUGGCGACUCCUUUAGGCUCACUGCAGGAAAUUGGUUUGAAGGGCGUAUGAAUCAGAAACCGUGAAAUAAUAAAUGGGCUAUCAAUCAAAAUCUUUACAUCACCUUGGUGAGACUUUUUCUUUUAUUUGCUUCAAGGAUUUAAAAUUGUGAAAGCAUGUUUCGUGAAGCGGUGGACUCUCCUUUACAUGAUGUCUAUUCCAUUUGCUCAUAACUCUACAUCUAUUGUAUUCUUGGAAACAACGAAGGUCAAAAUAUUGGUGAAUGUGGAAGUUUGAUAAAAGAAAAAUUAGUUACAUCGUAUAGUUUGUGAUCUUCUUUUUGAUCUGACAUUUGUUGGUCAAACUCUUUCAUGGAAGCUCUUAUGUCUUUGGGGAAGAUAAUGGCACUGGAGGAGUCUUUCGCUGGAUGUUUAGCGGAAAGAUCCGUGAAAAGUCGUAUCUUCAACAUUCUUUGCAAUCAAUUAUGUAUUUUUAAAUCCUUAGCAGAUUUGACAUGCUUGUGUUUUGGGUUACUCUUACCUUUUUUGAGAGCCAUUGAUAAGCUUCUUACUCUGUUUUGUAUCUGCUUGGGUUCAGAGCAUAGUUGGAUUUAAUAUUUAUCUGGCAGUGACGGUGUGUUCUUGGCUGCGAUAAAUUUCUGGUUGUUUCUGUUGUACACUGAAUUUUACACCUGUGACUGUGAGUGUUUUGAUCUUGACAGGAAAAUUGAGAAAGUGUAGAAAUUCAGUUUGUGGAUUACAUCCGGUUAGUGUUUCCUUCUCUUCAGUUUAUCAGUUGACGUGAUCUACAUCUAAGUCAUGUAUCAAAUUCAUGUUUUCCUGUUCUCAUGUAUUGAGUGUUGAGGUUAGGAUGAUGAGCUACACCAACCAAAUCAGAAGGAGAGCUGAGGAGGCAGUUGAGGGCUCUCUACUGCAGCUUAACAAGACAAAGGAAGAGGUCAUCCUACUCAAAUUCUUCCUCCACCUUUGCCCCAAAUGUUUUGAAGGUCUGUAGAACUCUUCCGAGCCCCUGACACUUUGAUUCUUGUGCCUUUGUUUUAUUGAUGUGUUUUGUAAGAAUGUUAUCAGGAUUCGUGAUGGUUUGACACAGUUAUAUGCGAACGACACUGCUCUUACUGAUAAACAAGAACUCGAAUUUUCUUUAAUAGUAUAGUUCCCGAACCAAAUUAAGUUUGAAAUAUUGUAAAUAAUAGAUACAAGUCUGUUUCGAAAAGUCAGAAAUAAUUUGUCGUAGUUAUUGUGUAAUGUUUUUUCUACUAAUUCACGAACCUUGGAAAAGCAUUUUAAGGAUGACGGUUGCACGUACAAUCAAAUAAUUCACUAUGCAUAGUAAACACUAUAAGUUAAGAUUAUUGAAAAAGUAAAGGAAAUGUUACUCACAUCACAGAAAAUAACAAUCUGCAAAUGGUUCCAGAUGUAGCAAAUCAUAGAGGAUUCCGAAAAUAUAAAGGAGUUAGAGCACAAUGUCUAAGACACACGUUGCUUCUAACAUCGUUGCUUCUUUUUUUCCUUAAGACAAAUCGCUUUCUAAAAAUGCAGUUUGUGAUACAUACUUAAUAGCAAAGUGUCAUCUAGAAAAGAGACAAUGCUACUUCAAAUACACUGCUUCUAAGUGAACUAAUUUUUUGAACAAGUUUCAGGAAAUUUGAAAAACUACUCCAAAUACAAGACACAUUUAUAAAAAAAUACGAGAAUUUAUUGACUCUAUAAGUAGCAAACAGACAAUGUGAUUUGCAACAGGAUCCCAAGAGAAUGCUUUUUUUCCAACAGAGAGAAAAAAUAUUUUACUUAUCUCUGACUCAAAUUUGAUAAAUCCACAUAUAUUAUUAAAAAUCAGAAAAUAUGAAAUCAGAAGUUAAAAAAAUACUAAACGAUCCUACAUGAUAACUAAAUAGACAUCAACAUUAUAAGAAUA
Brassica napus (rape) is the source of this 4679-nucleotide long non-coding RNA. RefSeq lists it as uncharacterized. The record is from RefSeq and is a predicted model, not a curated record. The transcript has 2 exons. Lineage: Eukaryota; Viridiplantae; Streptophyta; Magnoliopsida; Brassicales; Brassicaceae.